Molecule: long non-coding RNA, 2415 nt
Filed under: Olea europaea (common olive)
Lineage: Eukaryota; Viridiplantae; Streptophyta; Magnoliopsida; Lamiales; Oleaceae
Description: long non-coding RNA (OEUR_LNC015375)
Source: RNAcentral
CAAUUGAUGGCGAAUCAAGAUCGUUGGAACGAAGGAGUAGUAAAGGAGUUUGUAGAUCUCAAAAAAGGUAAAAUUUCUAUCACAAUUCCUAUCUAAGCACAAAUAUGAAUCCUGGUGGGAAUUGAAAUUCGUUUCUAUUUCCGUUGUGCAUGAUAAAUAGAUUUCCAACAAUAUCAACAUACUAAUGGCAUGAGUUUUUCCCCUGAGAUAGUAAAUAUUACUGUUUGGAGCUGUCCUAGUCAAACAUUACACUAAAUUAUUGGCAUUGAUAUUAGUUUUCAUUUCAUCAUGUGAUUUACAGCUAAAAGCAAUACUGGUGUUGUAUUGCACUUUGGGUGCCAAUUAUUUUUAUAUGGAUUAUACAAUAUUUACAAUAAUAUUUACAAUGAAAUUUCUUGUCUUUUGUUUUAGAGGUGUGCCUUUUUUGGUUAGGUCUCGACUCACCUGCUUUAAAUCUACUGUGCCUUUUUAGUUCUAUUUCAUGGAUGCCCAGAUCAGGAUAUACUAUAUUCUCAACUUUAGUUGGAGGUAUAUGUGGCGCAUUUUGUCGAAUGGGAGAGGUCAGUGGUUCUUUUUUAUUUUUAAUCUCGAUGAUAUUAACUAUAUACAGUUUCCACUUCAUUUAUUAUACAACUUGAUGGUAUUCUUCACUUGUGAUUGUGAAUCUUCUAAUUCUUUACUGUGUUAUUGAAAUCAGUUUAUGUGGAUUCCUCUGUAUUGCUUAUUUCUCUCACAUUGCCAUAUGUGAAUGUUCUGGGAAAUGGAUAUGUUCCUUGUUCCGUAUCUAGCUGAUUGUGACUUGGAGUUAGUUCAGUGGCCUCCAUUUUUGCUUGCUUGCAAGGUUUUCAUUAUAAGCACAAAUAUGAAUCCUGGUGGGAAUUGAAAUUCGUUUCUAUUUCCGUUGUGCAUGAUAAAUAGAUUUCCAACAAUAUCAACAUACUAAUGGCAUGAGUUUUUCCCCUGAGAUAGUAAAUAUUACUGUUUGGAGCUGUCCUAGUCAAACAUUACACUAAAUUAUUGGCAUUGAUAUUAGUUUUCAUUUCAUCAUGUGAUUUACAGCUAAAAGCAAUACUGGUGUUGUAUUGCACUUUGGGUGCCAAUUAUUUUUAUAUGGAUUAUACAAUAUUUACAAUAAUAUUUACAAUGAAAUUUCUUGUCUUUUGUUUUAGAGGUGUGCCUUUUUUGGUUAGGUCUCGACUCACCUGCUUUAAAUCUACUGUGCCUUUUUAGUUCUAUUUCAUGGAUGCCCAGAUCAGGAUAUACUAUAUUCUCAACUUUAGUUGGAGGUAUAUGUGGCGCAUUUUGUCGAAUGGGAGAGGUCAGUGGUUCUUUUUUAUUUUUAAUCUCGAUGAUAUUAACUAUAUACAGUUUCCACUUCAUUUAUUAUACAACUUGAUGGUAUUCUUCACUUGUGAUUGUGAAUCUUCUAAUUCUUUACUGUGUUAUUGAAAUCAGUUUAUGUGGAUUCCUCUGUAUUGCUUAUUUCUCUCACAUUGCCAUAUGUGAAUGUUCUGGGAAAUGGAUAUGUUCCUUGUUCCGUAUCUAGCUGAUUGUGACUUGGAGUUAGUUCAGUGGCCUCCAUUUUUGCUUGCUUGCAAGGUUUUCAUUAUAUUUUUUAAGUCAUAACUCUUCCUUUUGUUAAAGGGAGAUUUUGGUUAAUUCCAUUUAAUCCCUAUGUUAACCAUCAAAUCAAAGCAAAUUCACCUUUUCUUUGCCUACCUUUGGCCUCACAAAUGUUUGAAGACAUGGUUUAUGGCUUUGAAUUGGUGGUUAACAGAGGGAUUAAAGGAAGUUGAUAAAAAAAAAAAAAAAAAUGCUAGAAUAUAACUGAAUCACCGGCAAUUUGGUUAUCUUGAACUAUGAAUUAAUCUCAUUCAUUCUUGCUUCAUUUUUUUUUUCUCUCUUGUUUGCAUCACUCCUUGUGGGUUAUGUUGUGUAAUUAGGGGUGUUGAGGUAUACUUAUUUUUUGGUCGUGUUUUAUUUGACUUAACAAGCUUGAGUGGCUCAUAUUUGUAAUGAUGACUUGUUACUAUAUACGGAACUUAGAAACUGUUCAUCUUUUUAAUUGUUUUAGACAAUGUUUGACUAUCCUUCUUGCAGGUCAAAGUAAAUUUUAGCCUGGUUCGGAGAAAGAAUAAGGGAAAUUAUUCCGAGCUUCAUCUAUGGCCACAUGUAUAAAGUUCAGGAUUAUGUUCUUAUUCGAUUUGACUAUGAUAGUUGAUCCCUUCAAAGCAUCAUGUUAGAAAUUUAUCGAGCAUUUAUGAGAUUUUUGGGUACAAUAAUUUAUUUGAUAAUUUACUAUUGAUUUUUUCCCUUUUUGACAGUUCGUUAAUUUGGUUUAGUUUGUAUUUGUUUUGGUUUUGGAGAUAACCAAGUUUGUAAAUAAUACCUUGGUCUAUAUCUAUCUGGUUGACG